AUAUUACUUUAUCACUCGUUUCAUUUCCGUUGAUUAAAACUUCUACAACUCUCUAUUCGUGGUGCUUCUUACCUUCCUCCGGUGACUUUCCGACACUUAGCAAAUGGGUAGCUCCUGAUACUUUCCCCUUCUUACUUCCUAUCUUUAUUCCUUUCCUUCCUAAACAUGAGUAAGAGAGACAGCUAAGAUACCCAAGAAACCGCCAACAUAGAUUAUAGCUUCGACGAUUCUCUGAUGGCAAAAACGGCUGACAGCCCUGUAUUGUCAUUGUCAGGUAAAGAAGUAGAUGAUGCUACUGGUGGCAACAAUGUGGCGGGUACUAGUCGUGAGAUUGGCACUGCCUCAACCCACGCGACGCUUCCACAAAAUAAAAAAUCUAAGAAAACUAUAGCCGAACUCCUUGGUACAGACGAGAUCGCCUCAGAAGUGAAUCCUAUCGAACUUCUUUCCCUCAUAUCAAAAUAUCAUAUUCCAAGAGACCUAUUCGAGGUAGAAGCUCGUGG
Molecule: unclassified non-coding RNA, 503 nt
Filed under: Hevea brasiliensis (rubber tree)
Lineage: Eukaryota; Viridiplantae; Streptophyta; Magnoliopsida; Malpighiales; Euphorbiaceae
Source: RNAcentral